CAGGACUCAUCAGAGAAGAUUCUUCUACACUGUGAUUAUUCUUGAUUUGUAGUCUGGAUGUAUUUGACUCCUCCUUAUUCCUUCCUGCAGCUAUAUAACUAGAAUUCAUACCCAUGUGGAGAGAAAAAAGGAAGAGAAAAAGAAUCUUUGUACGCUAAGGGUCACGUGCAACCUAUGGCAAGUGCUACAGAUGCUGCUCUUAUUGCUGAUGAGACUCACUAUUUUUUGGGCCUUACAGUUUAGGAAGGGUGUUGAAAAACUGAAAAGGAUCCAAAAGAGGCCUAUCAAGAAGAUAACAUGGUUGGAGACCUGCAGCACAUGAUCUUCAAUGAGAGGUGGCUUAGCCUGGUGAAAGAAAGGCUAAAGAGACCUUUGAUAGCAUUUCUUUGAUAGCAGAAAUUUGAAGCUUCAGAAAAGAGAAGCUGAGCUACAGAGACAGCAGAAGGAAACACUUUCUCUGUAACAGAAAAAGGACAAUCAUUUUCUUGAGCUCUAGCCUCAAGAAAUUAGACUUAGUGGCUCCAGACUAACCUGUGUAAAAUGGAAUAUGAGAUAAAAAAUGGAGAGCUGAAGUUGAAGAGGUACAGAAUGAACCUGGUAUAUCCAGCUAGUUAUAUGGGCAGGCCAAAUGUUCAGGAGGAUAAUGUCAUGUCUGGACAAUACAAAGUAUUUUACUCGUAUCUCAGGAGUUUUAAUAGAAUCAAAGGAACUUUGGGUUGAGUGCAGCAUUUCUCUUUCUCUUGCCUUUAUUGUAUUUGGAGAUCUUGAGUUCAAGUAAUGGAGACAAUAUCCAGGCAUCAAUAAAUGGAUUUUUAUUAUUUAAGUAUUCCAGUGUUUUUUAUUAUUUACUUCCCCCCCCAUCUAUAAAUUUAGAUAAAUCAGUACCUAUGCUUCAGCUAAGUUUAAAACUAUACUUACCUUGGAACUUUUUAGCAAGAUAGAUCUUGCUACCAUCCUUGAACUUCUACUGAUCAGAAGUCAGUAUCUGUGCUCUAGAUUUUACAGGGCGUUUUGAAUGCUUAUUUAGAAUAAGUUAACAUAAUUUUUCCAGUAAAGCCUGUUGCAAAAUAUUACUAAUUGACAUGCCAUUUACCAGACUUGUAAUUCUUUUUUAGAAAUGGUCACAAUAUUUGCAAUCUCCUUUUUGCUCAGUUGUGGUUUUUAGAAUGCUUAAUGUCUUAGAGAAAAAACAAUCAAAGCUGUAAAAUUAGCCUUUGUUAGACAACUCCAUUGAGAAUAAACUCUCUUCAUGGGAAAAUUUUAUUGAAGCACUGCAUUCUUAUUUAAUUUGAACAACGUGAACAUAGCUGAGAAAUGUACUUUUUAAUCCACAAAAUGUGAUACAGUUUAAAGAUUAAGUUUCAGAACUGUUUGUUAAUGAUAACCAUAAUGUAAUAUUUUGCUAGAAUUUGUUUUCAGAUUUAAUUUGAAAAAUGUCAGCAUUUCUUAAACUUGGAUGCGCAAAAUAGGUUCUCAAGUGUAUGUUAGCUACAUACAGCUUGAUUAUGAAAAACACUGCUUAAUGCUUAAGAUUGUGCAUCAAUUAUUUUUGAAGAUAAAUUACCCUUUUGAAGCUAGUAGCUAAAUGGAUGUUUAGAUGCUAUGCUAGAUUACUUGGGAUGUCAGCAUCUUCCCAUGACAGACUCCUGAGACAAAUACAAUUAUAGCUACAACCAGUCCACAGUGCAUAUUCUGCCCCAGAUAAGAGUUCCACAGACACUACUCAUUCUCUGAAAGUGAGAGCAAAAUUUACAUUCCAAAUAGCAAACAUAAAUUAUUGCAAAAAAAUAAUGAAUAAAUUGAUUUAUUGGAUUAACACUAAAUCAAGGAAUAAUUUCUGGAGUUCAUAAAAGAUCGGCAAAUAUAAAGGCUUGGUUAAUCAGGCUGAUGGUAAACUUUAAAAUAUCUUGUUGAUUUUUUCAUUUAGCGAAUUUCAUCAUAAUGUCAUCUGAACAUAUUUACUCCAACAUGCACAGACUGGGCUGGGGGUUGUGAAAUUUUAUUUUACAACCAGAAUGUGCUUCUUUUUGCUCUUUGCAUUCUUUGUCACUUUUAAUAUCUUUAGUGGUUCUUGAAAUAUUUGGUGCUUCAAAUACGACCUGCCAUUUCAACAAAUGGACUGAUUGAAUCUGUCAGACUGGUGGAAUUUACAGUAAAUUCACUGCAGCACAAGUGAAACCAUGAGAAAUUUUGUUGUCUUAAAUAGCUGAAUCUGGAAGACCAAAAGACAUUUGUUCAGCAGCACAGGCAGCCUUCAGUGGACAAUCAGAAUGUGCUUACAGCUGAGGAAGCUCACUGGCAUGAUGCCUUUGUCACUUUUAAAUCUGAUUUCAAAGAACUUGAAAAGAAGACUUGGAACAUUUCUUGGAACAAGCACUUCUUUUCUUCUGGAUGGACUCUCAAUACACGUUUGCAGAAAUUAAAUGGCUUGACUGAAUCAUGGUACAAGCUACAGCUGUGAAUGGCGGUACUUUCAACAGUAUGGCCUACUUAUGUUUUCAUUUGGAACUGAUAGCAGUCAUUUAUUUUAAGUUUCUCCUAUGUGCUGCUGUAUUAACAAGAAGUGAUAAUACCUCUUGGGUAUGUGAGGAGCACCCACUGUUUUGCUUUUGUCAGGCAACUUUUUCAUAUUAUGGUCAUCCAAAAUAUUUAAGUGGCACCAAAAACUUUGUUUUCCAUUGUUAGGCAUAUGAUAGAUUGACUAAAAAUAAAAAAUAAUACACUUGA
This is a long non-coding RNA of Falco peregrinus (peregrine falcon), 2727 nucleotides long. RefSeq lists it as uncharacterized. The record is from RefSeq and is a predicted model, not a curated record. The transcript is spliced from 9 exons. NCBI's taxonomy places the organism in Eukaryota, Metazoa, Chordata, Aves, Falconiformes, Falconidae.